Molecule: ribosomal RNA, 495 nt
Filed under: uncultured bacterium
Lineage: Bacteria
Description: bacterial SSU rRNA
Rfam family: Bacterial small subunit ribosomal RNA
Source: RNAcentral
AAAUGAAUUGACGGGGACCCGCACAAGCGGUGGAGCAUGUGGUUUAAUUCGAAGCAACGCGAAGAACCUUACCAGGUCUUGACAUCCCACUGCCCGUUAUGGAGACAUAACUUUCCCUUCGGGGACAGUGGUGACAGGUGGUGCAUGGUUGUCGUCAGCUCGUGUCGUGAGAUGUUGGGUUAAGUCCCGUAACGAGCGCAACCCUUAGGUCUAGUUGCCAGCAUUCAGUUGGGCACUCUAGAACGACUGCCGGUGACAAAUCGGAGGAAGGUGGGGAUGACGUCAAAUCAUCAUGCCCCUUAUGACCUGGGCUACACACGUGCUACAAUGGAUGGAACAAAGGGGAGCGAAGCGGCGACGUGAAGCAAAUCCCAUAAAACCAUUCUCAGUUCGGAUUGCAGGCUGCAACUCGCCUGCAUGAAGCCGGAAUCGCUAGUAAUCGUGGAUCAGCAUGCCACGGUGAAUACGUUCCCGGGUCUUGUACACACCGCCCGU